GCGGGCGUGGCGGAAUUGGCAGACGCGCCGGACUCAAAAUCCGGUUCCCCGGCGAGGGGAGUGUCGGUUCGACCCCGACCGCCCGCACCA
RNAcentral lists this transfer RNA (90 nucleotides) under Elioraea sp. RNAcentral's name for it is "tRNA-Leu". It matches the Rfam family "tRNA". From Rfam's summary of the family: Transfer RNA (tRNA) molecules are approximately 80 nucleotides in length. Their secondary structure includes four short double-helical elements and three loops (D, anti-codon, and T loops). Lineage: Bacteria; Pseudomonadati; Pseudomonadota; Alphaproteobacteria; Acetobacterales; Elioraeaceae. The record is from RNAcentral. RNAcentral also lists the same sequence under 1 other name.